GGGUAAACAGCAGCCUGGGAACCUCCCAGAGGCACGAGGUUCAGGACUGCAGCCUCAGCUCAUCUCAGCGAGUGGCUCCAAAGUCAAGCCAGCCGUUUGAGAUCCGGGGAGGGUGGCCCCCUUCCAAGAUGCCACUCCUUUGAGUCCUGACGAUGGGACGCGGCAGCUGCAGAGGUCUUGCUUAGCAUGUCCUGGAGGGAACAGAGAAACAGGCUCUGGACCACCUCUUGUGUGAGGUUGGGGACAGAGCAUCCUGCAUCCGGCAGUUGCUUGAGGGACACAGGCUGAUGCAGCCGCGUUCAAUCUAGCCCGCUAGACAGGGGCUUGGAUCUGAACGGAUUAAAAGAAGCCGAUGGAAAGGGUGACUGAGCCCUCGAACUUUCUACCAAAAAAAAAAAAAAGGGAAAAAGAUGAUUCUGAACCACAGAGCUGCAAAAAAGUCCAAUGUGAAGAGAAGGAUGUCAAUCCUUAGGCAAUUUUUUUGGUGGAAAAAAAUAUGGAAAGUAAAAGAAAAACAUCUUUCUGUGUCAUUCAUCCCCUCUAAGGAUCAGAGCGGAGUUACCACACUUUGGUAAGUUAAGAUGAAAUCAGCUUACUUUCCAUUUUUAUCAUUUUAGACUUAUUUUUCAAGAUGAAGUUCUCAUCAAACCACAUUCCAGGAGUCAGAACUCAGUCACGUGGCCACACCCAACUGCCCAGAAGCCUGGGGACUCCAGGACAGCACUGUCCCCAGAGUGGGCACUUGGGGCUGUGAGCUCCGGCAGCCAUCGGCUCGCGCUCCUGCUCUCUCCUCCUCCAGCCGCUGGCUCCUGCUCUUGUUGGUCUCUGCGUCGCGUGUCCCCUGUCAGCAGGGAACCCUUGCCUCUGGCUACCACUAGAGUCAGUUUACCACCUUGCUGUUCUCUGCUUUCCAGAAGCGUGAGCGUCAGAAAUGUCCUUUGGAAUGUCAUGUCAACUACUGAGGAACUAUGGGGAAUUAAGCAAAUCUGAUUAAACGGACCAGCCAGCACCUCCCCAGGGACAGAUGUGUACGACUAGGACCCUUCUGAGUGUGCCGAGUAAGUGCACUUACUCAGACUCGCUGUGUUCGGGGCGUACAGCCUGCCAGGGAACAGGAGUGCCAGGCCCUGUCCUUGGGAAACUUCCAGCGCAGGUGGCAAGAGUGGGAAGUGAUCUUCGGUCAGUCUCCAUGUCACAAUGUGCCAGACAGUCAAACCUCUGGCGAAUUCUGUUCCCAUGUGCUUGCUGGAUGAUACGGAAAUGGACUGCAACUUCACCUGGCCACAGGUGUCCCUGUGCCCCCUGGCAUCUCCAGGAGCUGCCCCGGCCUCUGUCCCUUCCUGCACGCACCCCUCUACUGCAGCACGGAGCCCUUGCUGUCCCCUCCACCCGGAAGGCGAAUUCUCUUUCUCCAGCUCACUGCUUGGCUGUUCAGGUCUCAUCUUAAAAUAUCACCUUCUCCGAGCUGCCUUCCCUGAACACCUGAGCCAUCGACUGUCCCUGUGAUCAUUCUUGGUGGCAGCACCUUGUUAAUUUUUGGUGGCCUAGUGGUUACAUUCGGGGCACUCCUCUUUAGCGCCCAGGUUCAGUUCCCGGAUGUGGACCUACACCGCUUUGUUAGCGGCCCUGCUGUGCUGGUGGCCCACAUACUAAGGAAAAAGAGGAAGGCUGGCACAGAUGUUAGCUCAGGGUGAAUCUUCCUCAGCAAAAAAAUUAAAAAAUGAACUCACAGCGUUUGCUUCCUGAUGUGCUCAGUGCCCCGCCUGCCCCCCCAUCAGACUGGGCGCCCCAGGGUGGGCUGUCUUUCUCAUGGCGGAUUCUGAGGUCUAGCCCAGGGCUGGGGACACCGCGGGCGCUUGAUCAAUCUUGACCUUAUGAACACGCUUUCAAGUGGUGCCCUCAGUUUAGGAGG
Equus caballus (horse) is the source of this 1912-nucleotide long non-coding RNA. The record is from Ensembl. Lineage: Eukaryota; Metazoa; Chordata; Mammalia; Perissodactyla; Equidae.